CUUCCCUGGCAAUGGGCAAAAAGACACCUUGUUGGUGGUGGUGGUUUUAUAUUAGUCAGGGGCAGAGCAGACAGCAGUACUUUGUUCAUCCUAACUUGAUGCCUGGUUUGGUAUCCAAAUCUGUUUUAUGCCUAGGACUCAUAA
Molecule: small nucleolar RNA, 144 nt
Organism: Grammomys surdaster
Lineage: Eukaryota; Metazoa; Chordata; Mammalia; Rodentia; Muridae
Product: small nucleolar RNA SNORA48
Exons: 1
Source: RefSeq, a predicted model, not a curated record